Molecule: unclassified non-coding RNA, 297 nt
Organism: Monodelphis domestica (gray short-tailed opossum)
Lineage: Eukaryota; Metazoa; Chordata; Mammalia; Didelphimorphia; Didelphidae
Rfam family: Metazoan signal recognition particle RNA
About the family: The signal recognition particle (SRP) is a universally conserved ribonucleoprotein. It is involved in the co-translational targeting of proteins to membranes.
Source: Ensembl
GUGGGCUCAUACACUGCCAAUCCUACUUCUGGGGAAACUGAGGCUAAUGGGUUGUGUGAGUUCAGGAGUUCUGAGCUGUGAUAGGAAUAAAGCCGACUGGGUGUCCACAUGAAAUAUGGCACCAUUAUGGUGACCCCUUGGGGGAUGAGGUGGCACAACAGGCUGCCCAAGGAAGAGCAAACUAACCCAGGUUGGAAACAGAGCAGGUCAAAUCUUGUGUGCUGAACAGUGCUGGGAUAGAGCUCAUGACUGGUUGCUGCACUCCAGCCUGAGCAAAUUAGGGAAAUUUAGUCUUCG